CAGUAGCCACGGGAAUACGAAGGGGGCUAGCGUUGUUCGGAUUUACUGGGCGUAAAGCGCACGUAGGCGGACUUUUAAGUCAGGGGUGAAAUCCCGGGGCUCAACCCCGGAACUGCCUUUGAUACUGGAAGUCUUGAGUAUGGUAGAGGUGAGUGGAAUUCCGAGUGUAGAGGUGAAAUUCGUAGAUAUUCGGAGGAACACCAGUGGCGAAGGCGGCUCACUGGACCAUUACUGACGCUGAGGUGCUAAAGCGUGGGGAGCAAACAGGAUUAGAUACCCCCGUAGUCCCUGUCUCUUAUAA
This 301-nucleotide ribosomal RNA is filed under the name uncultured bacterium. Its description in RNAcentral is "partial 16S ribosomal RNA". It matches the Rfam family "Bacterial small subunit ribosomal RNA", at positions 509 to 809 of the family's 1533-position model. The record is from RNAcentral.